RNAcentral lists this ribosomal RNA (503 nucleotides) under uncultured bacterium. RNAcentral describes it as "partial 16S ribosomal RNA". It matches the Rfam family "Bacterial small subunit ribosomal RNA", at positions 30 to 523 of the family's 1533-position model. The record is from RNAcentral.
AUUGAACGCUGGCGGCAGGCUUAACACAUGCAAGUCGAGCGGGGUGAUGGUGCUUGCACUAUCACUUAGCGGCGGACGGGUGAGUAAUGCUUAGGAAUCUGCCUAUUAGUGGGGGACAACAUCUCGAAAGGGAUGCUAAUACCGCAUACGUCCUACGGGCGAAAGAAGGGGAUCACUUGUGACCUUGCGCUAAUAGAUGAGCAUAGUUCGGAUUAGCUAGGUGGUGGGGUAAAGGACUACCAAGGCGACGAUCUGUAGCGGGUCUGAGAGGAUGAUCCGCCACACUGGGACUGAGACACGGGCCAGACUCCUACGGGAGGCAGCAGUGGGGAAUAUUGGACAAUGGGGGGAACCCUGAUCCAGCCAUGCCGCGUGUGUAAAGAAGGCCUUAUGGUUGUAAAGCACUUUAAGCGAGGAGGAGGCUCUUUUGGUUAAUACCCAAGAUGAGUGGACGUUACUCGCAGAAUAAGCACCGGCUAACUCUGUGCCAGCCGCCGCUGUAA